Tupaia belangeri (northern tree shrew) is the source of this 107-nucleotide small nuclear RNA. Lineage: Eukaryota; Metazoa; Chordata; Mammalia; Scandentia; Tupaiidae. The record is from Ensembl.
GUGCUCACUCCAGCAGCACAUAUACUAAAGUUGGAAAGACACAGUGAAGAUUAACAUGGUCCCUGAUCAAGGGUAACAUGUGAACUCAUGAAGCAUUCUAUAUAUGU